GAUGAACGCUAGCGAUAGGCCUAACACAUGCAAGUCGAGGGGCAGCAUAAAGGUAGCAAUACUUUGGUGGCGACCGGCGCACGGGUGAGUAACGCGUAUGCAACCUACCUACUACAAGGGGAUAACCCGGAGAAAUUCGGACUAAUACUCUAUAAUACAGGGGUCCCGCAUGGGAAUAUUUGUUAAAGAUUUAUUGGUAGUAGAUGGGCAUGCGUUCCAUUAGGUAGUUGGUGAGGUAACGGCUCACCAAGCCAUCGAUGGAUAGGGGAACUGAGAGGUUUAUCCCCCACACUGGAACUGAGACACGGUCCAGACUCCUACGGGAGGCAGCAGUGAGGAAUAUUGGUCAAUGGAGGCAACUCUGAACCAGCCAAGUCGCGUGAAGGACGACGGCCCUACGGGUUGUAAACUUCUUUUGUAAGGGAAUAAAGUUUAGUACGUGUACUAUUUUGCAUGUACCUUACNAAUAAGGAUCGGCUAACUCCGUGCCAGCAGCCGCGGUAAUACGGAGGAUCCGAGCGUUAUCCGGAUUUAUUGGGUUUAAAGGGUGCGCANGCGGGAUGUUAAGUCGGCGGUGAAAUUUUGCGGCUCAACCGUAAAAGUGCCUUCNAAACUGGCAUUCUUUGAGUGUAGAUGAAGUAGGCGGAAUUUGUGGUGUAGCGGUGAAAUGCAUAGAUAUCACGAGGAACUCCGAUUGCGCNNNAGCUUACUAAGCUACANCUGACGCUCAUGCNCGAANNNGUGGGGNUCAAACNGG
This 757-nucleotide ribosomal RNA is filed under the name uncultured Porphyromonadaceae bacterium. RNAcentral's name for it is "bacterial SSU rRNA". It matches the Rfam family "Bacterial small subunit ribosomal RNA", at positions 28 to 776 of the family's 1533-position model. The record is from RNAcentral. Lineage: Bacteria; Pseudomonadati; Bacteroidota; Bacteroidia; Bacteroidales; Porphyromonadaceae.